GUGCUGUUUUCGGCUCGACAGGCGCGGCUUGAAAAUCCGCGUGUCGGUGGUUCAAAUCCGCCUCCGGGCACCA
RNAcentral lists this transfer RNA (73 nucleotides) under Rhizobium nepotum. RNAcentral describes it as "tRNA-Ser". Lineage: Bacteria; Pseudomonadati; Pseudomonadota; Alphaproteobacteria; Hyphomicrobiales; Rhizobiaceae. The record is from RNAcentral.